Molecule: unclassified non-coding RNA, 329 nt
Filed under: Hevea brasiliensis (rubber tree)
Lineage: Eukaryota; Viridiplantae; Streptophyta; Magnoliopsida; Malpighiales; Euphorbiaceae
Source: RNAcentral
GUAAGUUUUUAGCUUCUCUAUCACAAUCCCAAUGUAACCUUAAUAUUGUAAGCCAAAACAUGGGCGUCAUUGUUAAAUAAAUGGGCAUUUAAUAUGAGGUGUGUGUGUAUAUAUACCGGUGACUUCAACAGACAUUCAUCAAAUUUACAACUCUUCCCUACUCUCAAUCCAAACAACUGAUAACCCACUAAUCAUUUCAGCAUUUGCUUUGUCUUAGUGUAUAUAUUUAUAUAAAACAAUUUAGCUGGUUAAUUAUUCCAGAUCAUGCCAUCUAAGACCUUAUUAAUUCGUGCAGUUGUACAUGAAAUAUAUAUAUAUAUAUGUGUGUG